GGGUAGGGCUCCAGUCAGUUCUGGGGGCACUCACUAGUUUAUCCUGAGGCUCUGACAGGUCCCCAGUAUCCUGGGUAAUUACUGGUGGCACAGUGGCCACCUGGGUGAGGUCAGUGCCCAGACCUCCUGACCCUGUGUCCUGGGUGAAGCUCCCCUUGUCUGUCUGCCCAUGACCAGGACGUGCUGCUUAGUGCUGGUGGGUGCACAGCAGGAACAGCUCAGGUGCCACCUGGGUCCCCAGGUCUCCUUGCCCACCCUGGGGGUCUGCAAAUGUCACUCAUAAUCCAGGGUACAGGAGAGGGCCCAGGCAGGAGUUAGAGGACACUGUGGGAGGUGAGGGACGGUCCACAGGAGCCCCAGAGACCUCAGGUGUGUGACUCUACCUGUGCUCCAGGCAGGCACACAGGUACUGGUGUAAAGCAGGUCAGCUCUGUAGAGACCACCAUGAUCUCCACAGGUGCAGCAGGCACCUGGCGGGAAGGAGCCAUGACAUACCCUGCACCUCUCAGGAUGUGGCCCCAGGGCAGGGACGUGGCUCCUGGCAGGUGACAAGGUGUGGCGUGGUCAUGCUGAUGCCCACCCCAUCCUGACCCCAGACCAUCAUGGUCACCUCUGCCUCCCUGUCCAUGUGACGGGGUGGAGUGUCCCCCACUGUGUGUCCUGUUGGUCCAGCUGUCUGGGUGGAUCAGUCCCACCUGCC
Molecule: long non-coding RNA, 700 nt
Filed under: Marmota monax (woodchuck)
Lineage: Eukaryota; Metazoa; Chordata; Mammalia; Rodentia; Sciuridae
Source: RNAcentral